UACGGAGGGGGCUAGCGUUGUUCGGAAUUACUGGGCGUAAAGCGCACGUAGGCGGACCGGAAAGUUGGAGGUGAAAUCCCAGGGCUCAACCUUGGAACUGCCUUCAAAACUAUCGGUCUGGAGUUCGAGAGAGGUGAGUGGAAUUCCGAGUGUAGAGGUGAAAUUCGUAGAUAUCAGGAGGAACACCUGCGGUGUAGACGGCUUACUGGACCAUGACUGACGCUGAG
Molecule: ribosomal RNA, 227 nt
Filed under: uncultured prokaryote
Description: partial 16S ribosomal RNA
Rfam family: Bacterial small subunit ribosomal RNA
Source: RNAcentral